ACGGGAGGCAGCAGUGGGGACUAUUGCACAAUGGGGGAAACCCUGAUGUAGCGAUGCCGCGUGGAGGAAGAAGGUUUUCGGAUUGUAAACUCCUGUCUUAAGGGACGAUAAUGACGGUACCUUAAGAGGAAGCUCCGGCUAACUACGUGCCAGCAGCCGCGGUAAUACGUAGGGAGCGAGCGUUGUCCGGAAUUACUGGGUGUAAAGGGAGCGUAGGCGGGAUGGUAAGUCAGAUGUGAAAUCUAUGGGCUCAACCCAUAGACUGCAUUUGAAACUGCUGUUCUUGAGUGAAGUAGAGGUAAGCGGAAUUCCUAGUGUAGCGGUGAAAUGCGUAGAUAUUAGGAGGAACAUCGGUGGCGAAGGCGGCUUACUGGGCUUUUACUGACGCUGAGGCUCGAAAGCGUGGGGAGCAAACAGGAUUAGAUACCCUGGUA
RNAcentral lists this ribosomal RNA (434 nucleotides) under uncultured Ruminococcus sp. RNAcentral describes it as "partial 16S ribosomal RNA". It matches the Rfam family "Bacterial small subunit ribosomal RNA", at positions 341 to 792 of the family's 1533-position model. The record is from RNAcentral. Lineage: Bacteria; Bacillati; Bacillota; Clostridia; Eubacteriales; Oscillospiraceae.